Molecule: long non-coding RNA, 711 nt
Filed under: Homo sapiens (human)
Lineage: Eukaryota; Metazoa; Chordata; Mammalia; Primates; Hominidae
Description: HSALNT0337235
Source: RNAcentral
UCAAAACCCUGUCCUGGGGAGACAAUUGGGUAUGUCCAGGUGCAGUUGUUCAAUGUGAUUUAGUCCCUACCAGGAGGUCUGGUUGCCUGGGUUCAGAACAGCAGAGGAAAAAUUAGACAAAAGACACAUUCAGAAGUCAAGGUGCUCUGACAGUUCAGCAGACAUAUGACCUAACUUCAACCAGCAGACAGGAUCUGACCUAGGAAAGAUGAAGACAAAAACCAGAUCUCAAACAGAUGUAUUGUAGUUCAAGGUAGGGCAAUCAGACCUGUAGGAAGACUGAGCAGGCCACUGAAUUGGGCCCCCGAAAGAGAAGCCCAGACAUGAGGACUGGACCCACCCAGGAACUGGGAGUAAAGCAAUUUGGGGACAGUUGGGUCCUAGGCCUCGCCUCUAGGAAACCUGGAUUGCCCAGUCGGUGCUGAAGGUGUCUCAGAUCUGCUUGGAUCUAUAAUAUUGGACCUGAUUUUCUAUGCAGGUACAGUCACAUUUAUGUCUUUUAAUAAUAGAGUUCAUCCAUCAUACAAGAUUGAUGAUCCCUGCAGAAGUUAAAAGUCUAGGAAUAAGAAAUUUGCACUUUAAAGAAGUCUUUCCUUUGUCUUACGGCUUCCAGAAUUCCUGAUGAGGAGUCUGCUAUCAAUCUUAUCUUGUGGCUUUGAAGUGAUAAUGUCAUUCUCACCUGUAAUCCCAGCACUUUGGGAGGCUGAGGCC